RNAcentral lists this ribosomal RNA (248 nucleotides) under uncultured bacterium. Its description in RNAcentral is "partial 16S ribosomal RNA". It matches the Rfam family "Bacterial small subunit ribosomal RNA", at positions 524 to 776 of the family's 1533-position model. The record is from RNAcentral.
UACAGAGGUGCGAGCGUUAAUCGGAUUACUGGCGUAAAGCGUGCGUAGGCGGCUUUAAGUCGGAUGUGAAAUCCCCGAGCUUAACUUGGGAAUUGCAUUCGAUACUGGGAAGCUAGAGUAUGGGAGAGGACGGUAGAAUUCCAGGUGUAGCGGUGAAAUGCGUAGAGAUCUGGAGGAAUACCGAUGGCGAAGGCAGCCAUCUGGCCUAAUACUGACGCUGAGGUACGAAAGUGUGGGGAGCAAACAGG